Non-coding RNA from Meleagris gallopavo (turkey), 415 nucleotides. The record is from RefSeq and is a predicted model, not a curated record. NCBI's taxonomy places the organism in Eukaryota, Metazoa, Chordata, Aves, Galliformes, Phasianidae.
GAAGGGUUCUUUAGAAGGACUGUUGUGUAGCUAAGAGACUCUGUUGCUUAUUGGUAUUUGAUAAUGCAAUGGCUGGAAGACCACUAACUAUCAGAUUCAUCAGAUGGACACACUGGAUAUUGGCAAUUAUUCUGCUGCUGUUAAGUCAUCAGAUCAGAGGACAAGGACAAGUGGAGCAUUUUUGUGGAGAGAUUGUUUACCUUAUUCUUGCACCUGUCUCAUCAAGGUGAUGAUUUUAAAUCAUCCUUUGUACAUCCUCGAUGAGUAUCCCAUGCAUAUCAGACAUAUCAGUUUAGUGUACUGUUUUUCAUUUGUUUUGAUUUCACAUGUGAAAACUGGGGAUUUGCUCAGCCUGGAGAGUAGGAGCGGACAUUUUAGAAGGAUGACUCUGAGAAGUACAGUUGCUGAGCAAUAA